UACGUAGGUGGCAAGCGUUGUCCGGAUUUACUGGGUGUAAAGGGCGUGUAGCCGGGCUGACAAGUCAGAUGUGAAAUCCGGGGGCUCAACCCCCGAACUGCAUUUGAAACUGUUGGUCUUGAGUAUCGGAGAGGCAGGCGGAAUUCCUAGUGUAGCGGUGAAAUGCGUAGAUAUUAGGAGGAACACCAGUGGCGAAGGCGGCCCGCUGGACGACAACUGACGGUGAGGCGCGAAAGCGUGGGGAGCAAACAGG
RNAcentral lists this ribosomal RNA (253 nucleotides) under uncultured bacterium. RNAcentral's name for it is "partial 16S ribosomal RNA". It matches the Rfam family "Bacterial small subunit ribosomal RNA", at positions 524 to 776 of the family's 1533-position model. The record is from RNAcentral.